GCUGGGCAUGGUGGCUCAUGCCUGUAAUCCUAGCACUUUGGGAGGCCAAGAUGGGUGGAUCACCUGAGGUCAGGAGUUCAAGACCGGCCUGGCCAACAUGGUGAAACCCCAUCUCUA
RNAcentral lists this non-coding RNA (117 nucleotides) under Pan paniscus (pygmy chimpanzee). Lineage: Eukaryota; Metazoa; Chordata; Mammalia; Primates; Hominidae. RNAcentral also lists the same sequence under 1 other name. The record is from Rfam by way of RNAcentral.